Molecule: ribosomal RNA, 506 nt
Filed under: uncultured bacterium
Lineage: Bacteria
Description: partial 16S ribosomal RNA
Rfam family: Bacterial small subunit ribosomal RNA
Source: RNAcentral
AGUGAACGCUGGCGGUAGGCCUAACACAUGCAAGUCGAACGGCAGCACAGGAGAGCUUGCUCUCUGGGUGGCGAGUGGCGGACGGGUGAGGAAUACAUCGGAAUCUACUCUGUCGUGGGGGAUAACGUAGGGAAACUUACGCUAAUACCGCAUACGACCUACGGGUGAAAGCAGGGGAUCUUCGGACCUUGCGCGAUUGAAUGAGCCGAUGUCGGAUUAGCUAGUUGGCGGGGGAAAGGCCCACCAAGGCGACGAUCCGUAGCUGGUCUGAGAGGAUGAUCAGCCACACUGGAACUGAGACACGGAACAGACUCCUACGGGAGGCAGCAGUGGGGAAUAUUGGACAAUGGGCGCAAGCCUGAUCCAGCCAUACCGCGUGGGUGAAGAAGGCCUUCGGGUUGUAAAGCCCUUUUGUUGGGAAAGAAAUCCAGCUGGCUAAUACCCGGUUGGGAUGACGGUACCCAAAGAAUAAGCACCGGCUAACUUCGUGCCAGCAGCCGCGGUAA